RNAcentral lists this ribosomal RNA (435 nucleotides) under uncultured bacterium. RNAcentral describes it as "partial 16S ribosomal RNA". It matches the Rfam family "Bacterial small subunit ribosomal RNA", at positions 29 to 507 of the family's 1533-position model. The record is from RNAcentral.
AGCGAACGCUGGCUGCAGGCUUAACACAUGCAAGUCGAGCGGGCACUUUCGGGUGUCAGCGGCGGACGGGUGAGUAACGCGUGGGAACGUGCCCUCUGGUUCGGAAUAACUCAGGGAAACUUGAGCUAAUACCGGAUACGCCCUUUUGGGGAAAGGCUUGCUGCCGGAGGAUCGGCCCGCGUCUGAUUAGCUAGUUGGUGAGGUAACGGCUCACCAAGGCGACGAUCAGUAGCUGGUCUGAGAGGAUGAUCAGCCACACUGGGACUGAGACACGGCCCAGACUCCUACGGGAGGCAGCAGUGGGGAAUAUUGGACAAUGGGCGCAAGCCUGAUCCAGCCAUGCCGCGUGAGUGAUGAAGGCCUUAGGGUUGUAAAGCUCUUUUAUCCGGGACGAUAAUGACGGUACCGGAGGAAUAAGCCCCGGCUAACUUCGUG